UUGCGCGCACUUAUCGCUGCGUGUCUCGCGCAUGGCGCCUCUUCAGACCGUGAUAUGCCAUUGAUGUUGUACACACAAAGAGAUAUGUCCAUCUGUUAAACACACUGUUUUUAUUCUUCACAAGAGGACUGGCUAUUAAUGACUCAAUUGAUACGCUCGCGUGCAAAGAAGCGCUUCUACAUCAAGAUGACCAGCUGUUACAUUAAAAUAGCCGGUACAUGGCAUUAAUGUAUAGUAAAUAAAUAUCAAAUAAAUAUCAAAUAAA
This is a long non-coding RNA of Pogonomyrmex barbatus (red harvester ant), 265 nucleotides long. The record is from RefSeq and is a predicted model, not a curated record. NCBI's taxonomy places the organism in Eukaryota, Metazoa, Arthropoda, Insecta, Hymenoptera, Formicidae.